UUUGCAAAUGAUGAUAACUUAGACAGGGACAUCAGAACUCCUAGUUGAGAAUGGUGAUUUGUCAUUGGGAAUUUUCUGAUGCAUG
Lotus japonicus is the source of this 85-nucleotide small nucleolar RNA. RefSeq annotates it as small nucleolar RNA R44/J54/Z268 family. The record is from RefSeq and is a predicted model, not a curated record. The transcript has a single exon. Lineage: Eukaryota; Viridiplantae; Streptophyta; Magnoliopsida; Fabales; Fabaceae.